GAUGAACGCUGGCGGCGUGCCUAGUACAUGCAAGUCGAGCGGACGGACGAGAAGCUUGCUUCUCUGGUGUUAGCGGCGGACGGGUGAGUAACACGUGGAUAACCUACCUAUAAGACUGGGAUAACUUCGGGAAACCGGAGCUAAUACCGGAUGAUAUUUUGAACCGCAUGGUUCAAAAGUGAAAGACGGUCUUGCUGUCACUUAUAGAUGGAUCCGCGCUGCAUUAGCUAGUUGGUAAGGUAACGGCUUACCAAGGCAACGAUGCAUAGCCGACCUGAGAGGGUGAUCGGCCACACUGGAACUGAGACACGGUCCAGACUCCUACGGGAGGCAGCAGUAGGGAAUCUUCCGCAAUGGGCGAAAGCCUGACGGAGCAACGCCGCGUGAGUGAUGAAGGUCUUCGGAUCGUAAAACUCUGUUAUUAGGGAAGAACAUAUGUGUAAGUAACUGUGCACAUCUUGACGGUACCUAAUCAGAAAGCCACGGCUAACUACGUG
Molecule: ribosomal RNA, 497 nt
Filed under: uncultured bacterium
Lineage: Bacteria
Description: partial 16S ribosomal RNA
Rfam family: Bacterial small subunit ribosomal RNA
Source: RNAcentral